Molecule: ribosomal RNA, 247 nt
Filed under: uncultured bacterium
Lineage: Bacteria
Description: partial 16S ribosomal RNA
Rfam family: Bacterial small subunit ribosomal RNA
Source: RNAcentral
AGAUGGCGACCGGCGCACGGGUGAGUAACACGUAUCCAACCUGCCGAUAACUCGGGGAUAGCCUUUCGAAAGAAAGAUUAAUACCCGAUGGUAUAAUCAGACCGCAUGGUUUUGUUAUUAAAGAAUUUCGGUUAUCGAUGGGGAUGCGUUCCAUUAGGCAGUUGGUGAGGUAACGGCUCACCAAACCUUCGAUGGAUAGGGGUUCUGAGAGGAAGGUCCCCCACAUUGGAACUGAGACACGGUCCAA